Bubalus bubalis (water buffalo) is the source of this 1076-nucleotide long non-coding RNA. RefSeq lists it as uncharacterized. The record is from RefSeq and is a predicted model, not a curated record. The transcript is spliced from 3 exons. NCBI's taxonomy places the organism in Eukaryota, Metazoa, Chordata, Mammalia, Artiodactyla, Bovidae.
UGCAGGAAACAGAGGCUUUGUGACAAGUUGAGAUCCCUUAGCAGGGAGCUGUUGAUUCUGAGGUGAGUCAUGUUCAGAAUUCAGGGAACACCUGGGUGCCCGAGGUCAAGUGGGGCAUGGGAAACACGAGGAAAAGGCAGGUGAGCGAUCUGUGGGCUGGAGGGAACACUCUAGGAUUGGCCAAAGCCCAGGGCUUGGUGAUAAGAAACCCUUUGUGUUGGGGCCCAAAGGCAGAGGAAGGGCAGUUGGGGGCAGGGAGGCGGAGGCAGCUUUGGUAGCAAUCAAUCAGAUAGGCAACCCACCCACCAAGCCAGAAACAUGCUGUGUUUGGCAAUGGAGGGAAGGGAGGGGCUGACAGGUGGUUCCAAAUGCCCCAGGUGCAAGGCAGUGUCUCAGCCGGUCUGUGAAGCUCUUCAAAGCAGGUGUCCCUGCAGAGACAGAGCUGGAAAAUACUGGAGGAGGGAACCGCAGCCACUCAAGAGCACAUGGAGCCCUUUCAGUGGCCCCAUAGGACUCCUUGGGCUUACACAUCUGGUGUACUCUCUACCCACUUCCUUUACCCCGUGCCUUCUCCACAAUGACUCUCAGGAAGACAUCAGUGACCAAAGAGGGGCGUGGCUGCAGCCUCCAGACUGUGUUCCUGGAUAAAGCCUUCCCCAGUUAUCUCACCGGCCGCUAAGUGGGCAUCUAAUGAACACCGUGACUUCGUUUUCCAGGAACUCCACCCAAGGCCUGGUACUAAGGAAACCAUGACGGCUCCUCAUUUAGGAGGAAUGUUGACCUUCUUUCCCACUGAGGGCCACAGGCUUUGUGGCCAGGGCUUUGAGAAGGUUACAGGAAGAUGAAGCCCAGUGCCUAUUUCAUACACGCAAUUCUCCUCUCCAUCCUCAUCUUUCCCAGUAGGAAUCAUUUUGCCAGUGUCAGGUUUUGUCUGUCCAGUUAAGAAGGCAGGCUCUGGGGACUUCCCUAGUGGUCCAACGGCAAAGACUUCAAGCUUCCAAUGCAGGGGAGUCUGCGUUUAAUCCCUGGUCAAAGAACUAGACGCUGCAUGCCACAACUAAAAAUUCAAGUGUACG